AGUGAACGCUGGCGGUAGGCCUAACACAUGCAAGUCGAACGGCAGCACAGUAAGAGCUUGCUCUUACGGGUGGCGAGUGGCGGACGGGUGAGGAAUACAUCGGAAUCUACUUUUUCGUGGGGGAUAACGUGGGGAAACUUACGCUAAUACCGCAUACGACCUACGGGUGAAAGCAGGGGAUCUUCGGACCUUGCGCGAUUGAAUGAGCCGAUGUCGGAUUAGCUAGUUGGCGGGGUAAAGGCCCACCAAGGCGACGAUCCGUAGCUGGUCUGAGGGGAUGAUCAGCCACACUGGAACUGAGACACGGUCCAGACUCCUACGGGAGGCAGCAGUGGGGAAUAUUGGACAAUGGGCGCAAGCCUGAUCCAGCCAUACCGCGUGGGUGAAGAAGGCCUUCGGGUUGUAAAGCCCUUUUGUUGGGAAAGAAAAGCAGCAGGUUAAUACCCCGCUGUUCUGACGGUACCCAAAGAAUAAGCACCGGCUAACUUCGUG
Molecule: ribosomal RNA, 492 nt
Filed under: uncultured bacterium
Lineage: Bacteria
Description: partial 16S ribosomal RNA
Rfam family: Bacterial small subunit ribosomal RNA
Source: RNAcentral